AGAGUUUGAUCAUGGCUCAGGAUGAACGCUAGCUACAGGCUUAACACAUGCAAGUCGAGGGGUAAACGACUAUCGAAAGCUUGCUUUUGAUGGGCGUCGACCGGCGCACGGGUGAGUAACGCGUAUCCAACCUGCCCACCGACUUGGGGAUAACCUUGCGAAAGUAAGACUAAUACCCAAUGAUAUCUCUAGAAGACAUCUGAAAGAGAUUAAAAGAUUUAUCGGUGAUGGAUGGGGAUGCGUCUGAUUAGCUUGGUUGGCGGGUAACGGCCCACCAAGGCGACGAUCAGUAGGGGUUCUGAGAGGAAGGUCCCCCACAUUGGAACUGAGACACGGUCCAAACUCCUACGGGAGGCAGCA
RNAcentral lists this ribosomal RNA (360 nucleotides) under uncultured bacterium. RNAcentral describes it as "bacterial SSU rRNA". It matches the Rfam family "Bacterial small subunit ribosomal RNA", at positions 8 to 353 of the family's 1533-position model. The record is from RNAcentral.